UACGUAGGGCGCAAGCGUUAUCCGGAAUUAUUGGGCGUAAAGAGCUCGUAGGCGGUUUGUCGCGUCUGCCGUGAAAGUCCGGGGCUCAACUCCGGAUCUGCGGUGGGUACGGGCAGACUAGAGUGAUGUAGGGGAGACUGGAAUUCCUGGUGUAGCGGUGAAAUGCGCAGAUAUCAGGAGGAACACCGGUGGCGAAGGCGAGUCUCUGGGCAACAACUGACGCUGAGGAGCGAAAGCGUGGGGAGCGAACAGG
This 253-nucleotide ribosomal RNA is filed under the name uncultured bacterium. RNAcentral describes it as "partial 16S ribosomal RNA". It matches the Rfam family "Bacterial small subunit ribosomal RNA", at positions 524 to 776 of the family's 1533-position model. The record is from RNAcentral.